Molecule: ribosomal RNA, 497 nt
Filed under: uncultured bacterium
Lineage: Bacteria
Description: partial 16S ribosomal RNA
Rfam family: Bacterial small subunit ribosomal RNA
Source: RNAcentral
GAUGAACGCUGGCGGCGUGCCUAAUACAUGCAAGUCGAGCGAACAGAUGAGGAGCUUGCUCCUCUGACGUUAGCGGCGGACGGGUGAGUAACACGUGGAUAACCUACCUAUAAGACUGGGAUAACUUCGGGAAACCGGAGCUAAUACCGGAUAAUAUAUUGAACCGCAUGGUUCAAUAGUGAAAGACGGUUUUGCUGUCACUUAUAGAUGGAUCCGAGCCGCAUUAGCUAGUUGGUAAGGUAACGGCUUACCAAGGCAACGAUGCGUAGCCGACCUGAGAGGGUGAUCGGCCACACUGGAACUGAGACACGGUCCAGACUCCUACGGGAGGCAGCAGUAGGGAAUCUUCCGCAAAGGGCGAAAGCCUGACGGAGCAACGCCGCGUGAGUGAUGAAGGUCUUCGGAUCGUAAAACUCUGUUAUUAGGGAAGAACAAAUGUGUAAGUAACUAUGCACGUCUUGACGGUACCUAAUCAGAAAGCCACGGCUAACUACGUG